This is a long non-coding RNA of Oncorhynchus tshawytscha (Chinook salmon), 523 nucleotides long. The record is from Ensembl. NCBI's taxonomy places the organism in Eukaryota, Metazoa, Chordata, Actinopteri, Salmoniformes, Salmonidae.
UAGGGAGAACUGUUGUAGGGGCAGGGAGGACUGUUGUAAGAUUAGGGAGAACUGUUGUAGGGGUAGGGAGUGCUGUUGUAGGGGUAGGGAGGACUGUUGUAGAGGUAGGAAGUACUGUUGUCAGAGUAGGGAGUACUGUUGUAGGUGUAGGGAGGACUGUUGUAGAGGUAGGAAGUAAUGUUGUCAGAGUAGGAUGUACUCUUGUAGGGGUAGGGAGUACUGUUGUAGGGCUCUGGAGGACUGUUGUAGGGGCAGGGAGGACUGUUGUAUGGGUAGGAAGUACUGUUGUAGGGGUAGGGAGGACUGUUGUAGGUGUAGGGAGGACUGUUGUAGGUGUAGGGAGGACUGUUGUAGGGGCAGGGAGGACUGUUGUAGGGGUAGGGAGGACUGUUGUAGGGGUAGGGAGUACUGUUGUAGGGGCAGGGAGGACUGUUGUAGGGGUAGGGAGGACUGUUGUAGGGGUAGGGAGGACUGUUGUAGGGGUAGGGAGGACUGUUGUCAGAGUAGGGAGGACUGUUGUAGG